This 460-nucleotide ribosomal RNA is filed under the name uncultured bacterium. RNAcentral describes it as "partial 16S ribosomal RNA". It matches the Rfam family "Bacterial small subunit ribosomal RNA", at positions 338 to 795 of the family's 1533-position model. The record is from RNAcentral.
CCUACGGGACGCAGCAGUGAGGAAUAUUGGUCAAUGGGCGAGAGCCUGAACCAGCCAAGUCGCGUGAAGGAUGACGGCCCUACGGGGUGUAAACUUCUUUUGUCAGGGAGCAAUUGGGUCCACGCGUGGGCUUAGCGAGAGUACCUGAAGAAAAAGCAUCGGCUAAGUCCGUGCAAGCAGCCGCGGUAAUACGGAGGAUGCGAGCGUUAUCCGUAUUUAUUGGGUUUAAAGGGUGCGUAGGCGGAAUAUCAAGUCAGCGGUAAAAAUUCGGGGCUCAACCCCGUCGUGCCGUUGAAACUGAUGUUCUUGAGUGGGCGAGAAGUAUGCGGAAGGCGUGGUGUAGCGGUGAAAUGCAUAGAUAUCACGCAGAACUCCGAUUGCGAAGGCAGCAUACCGGCGCCCAACUGACGCUGAAGCACGAAAGCGUGGGUAUCGAACAGGAUUAGAUACCCGAGUAGUC